This 239-nucleotide ribosomal RNA is filed under the name uncultured Bacteroidales bacterium. RNAcentral's name for it is "partial 16S ribosomal RNA". It matches the Rfam family "Bacterial small subunit ribosomal RNA", at positions 95 to 334 of the family's 1533-position model. The record is from RNAcentral. Lineage: Bacteria; Pseudomonadati; Bacteroidota; Bacteroidia; Bacteroidales.
CUGGCGCACGGGUGAGUAACGCGUAUCCAACCUUCCCAUAACUACGGGAUAACCCGUUGAAAGACGGCCUAAUACCGUAUGACAUCGUUUGCUGACAUCAAAUAACGAUUAAAGGUUUAGCGGUUAUGGAUGGGGAUGCGUCUGAUUAGCUUGUUGGCGGGGUAACGGCCCACCAAGGCGACGAUCAGUAGGGGUUCUGAGAGGAAGGUCCCCCACAUUGGAACUGAGACACGGUCCAA